UGAUUAGAAAUUUUCUUACUUAUUUUAUUAAUUAUUGGGAAAACUUAAAAUACCAUAUUUGUGAUUUUGCACUUUUUUAUUUCAGUAUCCCGUGGUUUAAAGUGUAUUAAUUUAGUACCUUGUUGUUUUAUUUUUCUCUUUUUAUUAUCUCUCUACUAAUUUUUUUAUUAAAUCAAUGACAAAUUUAAAACUAAAAAGCAUUAAAAUAAAUAUUCGAUAAACCUAUAUGAGAUAUCUGAAAUUUUUUUGCAUAUAAUUUAACGAAAUGUUAAUGAAGAAGCUGACGAAAAAAAAAAAAUAAUAGAAUAAUAAAUUGAUACAUUUUAAAUUAUAAAGUGCUAAAGUGAAAAAAGUAUAAACCACACGAAAGAUAUUUAAAGUUUACUUUUAAUUAUUUAAGUAAAAAUUUAAUAUAAUAUUUUUAAGCUCUUCAUUGUUAGCUUCAUAAGAUGUAAAGUACAUGUACCAUAUUUUUCUUAAAAAAACAGUCAUCCGUACAUUUUGCCAUUUAUUACCGACCGUAUGGUUUGUUUGUGGACUGUAGACGGGGUGGGGAAAGGGUGGAAGUGUUGUACUUGCAAUAUAUAUAUAUAUAUAUAUAUAUAUAGAGAGAGAGAGAGAGAGAGAGAGAGAGAGAGAGAGAGUUGAGGUAGAAUACUUUCAAAAGUAUCAAGAAGAUGAUACUUUUGAGUUUUUAGUAUUUGGAUUGAGUGAUGUAAGGUUGGGAUAAUGAUAGUAAGUGGUAGAUUGUGGUAGGUGGAAUAAUGUUUGAUCUAAUGGAUAUUAGUAAGCAAAGAGUAGAUGACUAGAAACCUAGAAGCACCAAGAGAUCGGUGCUUCUAAAAGUAUCAUAGCUCAAUUUUAUAUAUAGAGAGAGAGAGAGAGAGAGUGUUGAGGUAGAAUACUUUCAAAAGUAUCAAGAAGAUGAUGCUUUUAAGUUUUUAGUAUUUGGAUGGAGAGAUGUAGGAUUGGAAUUAUGAUGGUAGGUGGAGGUUGUGGUAAGUGGAAUAAUAUUUGAUCCAAUGGGUAUUAGUAAGCAAGGAGUAGAUCCAAGAACUAGAUGAUGUGAACCUCCUAGGGUUGAGUGGGUGGUUGGUUGAAUAGUAUGAUUUAACGGAUGAAAAUGAUGAAAAGAAUAGAUUCAACGGCGGAAAAUUUGGUAGCACCAAAUACUUCUUACUAUUAAUAACAUAGUAGUCAGACUAUAUAUAUAUAUAUAUAUAUAUAUA
This 1229-nucleotide long non-coding RNA is filed under the name Ananas comosus (pineapple). RNAcentral's name for it is "long non-coding RNA (ACOM_LNC009244)". The record is from RNAcentral. Lineage: Eukaryota; Viridiplantae; Streptophyta; Magnoliopsida; Poales; Bromeliaceae.